UUAAUUGAAACCAAAAUAGAGGUAUAUUAUUGUUAAUAAUAAAAAUGAAAUCAAUUCCAAUUAAA
This 65-nucleotide transfer RNA is filed under the name Orophyllus montanus. RNAcentral describes it as "tRNA-Asn". Lineage: Eukaryota; Metazoa; Arthropoda; Insecta; Orthoptera; Tettigoniidae. The record is from RNAcentral.